AGCUGCAUGAAGGGUGCUGUGUGCUGGGCUGGAGGAUGGAGCCAUGUGCCACUCCCUCUGAGGCACGCUGUGAAGGUGCAAGCGGUGUGUUCUGAGAGUGCAGAGGAUGAAAACUUCUCACCCAGCUUUCUACAUUCAAGUUUACAAGUGCUGCUCAGGAGCCACUGAUUAUUUCCAGGGGAAGAUCACCAAACCGCCUAAGGCCGAGACUCCCAGGAUAGCGCAGCAUGCCCCGGAGUCCCCCAGCUCUAUUUGCUCAGAACUCAGAAAGAAAACAGCCCACACUCCUUGAACUUCAGGCACUGAUGGAGGCAUUUUCCAAAGAACAGUGACAAGGACAGCCAGCACCUCUCCUGCAUUCCUCAGUCUGACUCAAGCUGCUCUUCCACCCUCCUCCCCAGCUGGAGCUGAGGCUGAAGGCAGUUGAGGGCCACCGGAGAGAAGAGCUGGGUCAGGGCCGUGACUUGCAGCAAGCAUGAGGCCAUGCAGAUGUGCCGGGACAGCUGUGGUGACAGAGCUGUGGCCAACUGCUCCCUGGGCCGAGGCUGAAGGAAGCUGUGCUCCCACUGGUGCUAGGGAAGGCUGCUGCAGGGCUGGAGGCCUGGGUGCUGGACUGCUGGGGCGGGCUGCCUGCUGCACCCCCAAGCUGCAGUCAGGGCUCGCCCUGAGGCCCUGAGGUGGAGAGAGAGCAGCUCUCUCGUACACACCCAUGUGCACAAGCGCAGGCACACACACACACACACACACACACACAAGACGUUCUCACUUCAUCCCCGAAUUCUCCCUCCUACACACAAAGCUAGUUCCCAGUUCUCCAGUCCCCCUUCAUCCCUCUCCACUUCUGUAGUCUCUGCUGGGCUGCACUGGGGAUCUGGUCCCAAUUGCCCUCUCUUCCCUUGCUGCCCCUGUAACAAAGGGCUGGCCGUGUGACAUGAUCUCCUCAGGCUUCAGAGAAGUGAUUUUACCCUGAGCUACACAGGCAGGAAGACCACCAGCCUGGAAGGGCCCUUCAGCCACUUUCCCAACAAACAGCAAAUCUCCGCCGACUGAACUCUGACUGAGGCAAUGGGGGCAUGCCAGGCAACAAGGUGGAGGUUUGCUACCGUGGGAGCAGGGAGAGCGUGGAACACAGACGCUCUGGAUGUUGAAGAGGAGGCUUCACCCUUAAAUCCACACCAACAGCCCCCUUCACUUCCCCCGGUGAAGAACGAAGGACCCUGUGGGAUUUCUACUUCAAAUCUCUCAUUUAUUCCGACACCCACUCGGUUAUGACUCCAAGUUAUCAAAGAUGCAAGACAAGAAGUCUAGAGCAGGAGUGGUGAAGUGGAGGUGGAGAAAGACGGCGGAGAGGGCUGUGUUCCUGGCCCCUCCUUCUCUUCCAAUUUAGGGCACCGUUUGAAAAGUGUACAAAUAGUGUCCCUUAGCACAGUCUAGAUAGCAGAAAAGGACAGUGCAGUUGAGUGGGGGAAGCUUCCUUUUCCACCGGGUGGGGCCCUGCGGCUGCAGCGGGCAGGCAGGCAAUCUCGAGCCUGGUCGGAGACCGUGCCCUGAGCAGCGUGGGCUGUGUGGGGAAGAGCUGGGGCCCACCAUCUCUCCAGCGCCCCAAACCCAGAUUCUGAUUUUUGGGGCUAGCAGGGCUUAGCUAGGAAAGCAGUAGGAGGGAGGGGAUUGCACAGGACGCUUACACUCAGGGACCCCAUCGAUCAGGGGCAAGAAGCGGGUGAUGGUUAACUGGGUCUUGAUUUUUACAAAGGCAGGACGUACGAAUGAUGUUAUUUCUGGCAAGGAGGACAUGGCUGCUGUGGUUGAUUGGCUGUGGAAUUCCAGGGGAGCAAGGCACUAGGAAGUGGGGAACGCUGCCAGGCCCAGCAGCUCAUCAGGAGCUUGCACUUGGCCCAGUUAGGGCUGGCCGUGGGACGGGUUUGUUGAAGCUGCUGCCGCCAUAAGCUGCCCCUCUGCACCAGGAGACAGAUCCCAUUACCCCACCUACAGCUGCUUCCUGGUACAAGAGAAGAGUUACCAUUUGAAGUGACUCCACAGGAGAGUCUGACAAACAUGUUUGCUUUUCACUGACAAUUAAAAUUGUUUUGCUGCUAA
This is a long non-coding RNA of Pan troglodytes (chimpanzee), 2097 nucleotides long. RefSeq lists it as uncharacterized. The transcript is spliced from 4 exons. NCBI's taxonomy places the organism in Eukaryota, Metazoa, Chordata, Mammalia, Primates, Hominidae. The record is from RefSeq and is a predicted model, not a curated record.